UACAAGGAGGCAGUUUCAUGCAGAAUGAAACUGCAGGGGGUUUUUCGCGUUUGUAGCCUCCUAUUAGUAACCCCACGCCCCUUAGGGCUUCCCUGAGCUUCACAGCAGCAGGAGAAGAGGUAGGGGAGUUCUCCACACCCUCCCUCUCUAUUUCUUUGAUCUUGGUUGGUUUAAUUUGUAAAUUAAGCUUCUCUUUUUCCCUUUUUUUGCUUCUUGGUGUUCUCCCUCCAUGGAAGGAGCUUGAGGCUUGAUUUUGGAGCUUGUUUGAGGGAAGAUUUUCAGAUCUUGGGGACUUGGAUACUUGUUGGAGGCUUCCAAAGAGGUUAGAAGCUUAGUUCUUUCUUUUGAUCCUUAAUUUAUUGGAUUUUAUGAGAUGAAACCCUAGAUUGUGAUAUUAGGGUUUAUUUUGGGUAUUUUGAAUCUAGGGCUUUUGAAGCUAGAUUGAGUGGAUUAGAGGCUUCCAUUAGGUUGGAUUGGAUGGACCUUAGCUCUUUUUUGGAGCUUUAGAGGAGAUUUUUACACUAGAGGUGAGUUCUCUCCACCUAUGCUUGAAAGGCUUAAUGAUUAAACUUAGCGUCAUUCGUUUCGACUAGAUGACACUUGUUUUCAUACCUUUAGGGUACUAGGAGUGUGGUGGACACCUUCGUCGUGGCAAACGAAAGCUUUCGUUGACGACGGUGCGUUUGACUUCGUGGAAAUGGGGCGAAAUGACCCCUAUGCUCUUUCUACUUGUUGUAAAAUAUUUUUAAAUUCAUUUCUAUGCUAAAUGGAAUUUAUAUGAAUUUUAGAGCACUUAAAAUGCAUGUCUUGUGUAUUAUGAAAAUUUCACUAUAUAGUAGAGCUAUAUGAGUAGAAUGCAUGCAUACGGGAAAAGUGUUUAUUUUGCAAGUGGAAAAUACAUCUCUUAUGAGGAUUAUAACUUGGAAUAUGUACUUUGGAACAUAGUUGCCAUGCUUUGACAUAGAGAACAAGAGUGUCAUAAAGGGGCACUUGAAACUAGUAAACUAUGAAACUGCAACGUAUAGACAUAUUGAUAGGCCACUACAUAUCUGCUAUAUUCCAUAUUAGAGACAUGAUGACAUAGGGAUAGGCCAUUGAGAUACUUGACACAUUCCAUGUUAUUAGACAUGAGGAUUUGGUACUUGCGAUAGAUCGUUUGACUACUUGCCAUUGUGCUCAUUCGCACAUGCUUGUGAGGGUCGCUCCCUACAAGCCGGCACUCCGGAGAUAGCCAUCGCGAUUCAUAUUCGCCGUGCGGGAUUGGGCGCCGAAGUGGAUUGCCGUGGGCCAGGCUCAUUCCUAGGGUGGGGAUGAUGACUACCACGGGGCCAUUAGGCUCGGCACCGGCCAGACAGCCUACGGGUGGGUCUCAGGGCCAUAGACAGCCUUCGGGUGGGUCUCUUCAGAUUUGACUUGAGUAUUCAUUAUGACAUGCGGACAGAUGAUGACUUAGAGUAUUACUUGGACAUUGACUAGAAUAGUAAACAAUGGAACUUUACUAUUUCGCAUUGUGAACAUUAUGAUAGUUGGAGACUUUUACUUCAUGCAUAGCUGCUUUCAUACUUAUACUAUUUAUG
This 1577-nucleotide long non-coding RNA is filed under the name Ananas comosus (pineapple). RNAcentral's name for it is "long non-coding RNA (ACOM_LNC007303)". The record is from RNAcentral. Lineage: Eukaryota; Viridiplantae; Streptophyta; Magnoliopsida; Poales; Bromeliaceae.